UGUGGUCRAUGACUGGGGUGAAGUCGUAACAAGGUAGCUGUAGGUGAACCUGCAGAAGGAUCA
Molecule: ribosomal RNA, 63 nt
Filed under: uncultured eukaryote
Lineage: Eukaryota
Description: partial small subunit ribosomal RNA
Source: RNAcentral